GCGCAGGAAUCUACCUAGUAGUGGGGGAUAACAUGGAGAAAUCCAUGCUAAUACCGCAUACGACCUGAGGGAGAAAGUGGGGGAUCUUCGGACCUCACGCUAUUAGAUGAGCCUGCGUAGGAUUAGCUAGUUGGUGGGGUAAAGGCCUACCAAGGCGACGAUCCUUAGCUGGUCUGAGAGGAUGAUCAGCCACACUGGAACUGAGACACGGUCCAGACUCCUACGGGAGGCAGCAGUGGGGAAUAUUGCACAAUGGGCGCAAGCCUGAUGCAGCCAUGCCGCGUGUGUGAAGAAGGCUCU
This 300-nucleotide ribosomal RNA is filed under the name uncultured Alteromonadaceae bacterium. RNAcentral's name for it is "bacterial SSU rRNA". It matches the Rfam family "Bacterial small subunit ribosomal RNA", at positions 115 to 418 of the family's 1533-position model. The record is from RNAcentral. Lineage: Bacteria; Pseudomonadati; Pseudomonadota; Gammaproteobacteria; Alteromonadales; Alteromonadaceae.